CCUACGGGUGGCUGCAGUGGGGAAUAUUGGACAAUGGGCGCAAGCCUGAUCCAGCAAUGCCGCGUGUGUGAAGAAGGCCUGCGGGUUGUAAAGCACUUUAAGCAGGAAAGAAGGGCGGAGCGAUAAUACCGUUUCGCAUUGACGUUACCUGCAGAAUAAGCACCGGCUAACUCCGUGCCAGCAGCCGCGGUAAUACGGAGGGUGCGAACGGGGCUCGGAAUUACCGGGCGUAAAGUGAUCAGUGGGGGUUGAAAGCCCUGGGCUUAACCUGGGAACUGCGGUGGAUACUGUCGGGCUAGAGUGUGGUAGAGGGGAGUGGAAUUUCCGGUGUAGCAGUGAAAUGCGUAGAGAUCGGAAGGAACACCAGUGGCGAAGGCGGCUCCCUGGACCAACACUGACGCUGAGGUGCGAAAGCGUGGGGAGCAAACAGGAUUAGAUACCCCAGUAGUC
Molecule: ribosomal RNA, 450 nt
Filed under: uncultured bacterium
Lineage: Bacteria
Description: partial 16S ribosomal RNA
Rfam family: Bacterial small subunit ribosomal RNA
Source: RNAcentral